UACGGGGGGGGCAAGCGUUGUUCGGAAUUACUGGGCGUAAAGGGCUCGUAGGCGGCCAACUAAGUCAGACGUGAAAUCCCCAGGCUUAACCUGGGAACUGCGUCUGAUACUGGAUGGCUUGAAUUCGGGAGGGGCGAGUGGAAUUCCUGGUGUAGCGGUGAAAUGCGCAGAUAUCAGGAGGAACACCAAUGGCGAAGGCAGCUCGCUGGAACGGUACUGACGCUGAGGCGCGAAAGCGUGGGGAGCAAACAGG
Molecule: ribosomal RNA, 253 nt
Filed under: uncultured bacterium
Lineage: Bacteria
Description: partial 16S ribosomal RNA
Rfam family: Bacterial small subunit ribosomal RNA
Source: RNAcentral